AGAGCGAACGCUGGCGGCAGGCCUAACACAUGCAAGUCGAGCGCCCCGCAAGGGGAGCGGCAGACGGGAGAGUAACACGUGGGAACGUACCCUUCAGUUCGGAACAACCCAGGGAAACUUGGGCUAAUACCGAAUACGUCCGUAAGGAGAAAGAUUUAUCGCUGAAGGAUCGGCCCGCGUCUGAUUAGCUUGUUGGUGAGGUAACGGCUCACCAAGGCUACGAUCAGUAGCUGGUCUGAGAGGAUGAUCAGCCUCACUGGGACUGAGACACGGCCCAGACUCCUACGGGAGGCAGCAGUGGGGAAUAUUGGACAAUGGGCGCAAGCCUGAUCCAGCCAUGCCGCGUGGAUGAUGAAGGCCUUAGGGUCGUAAAGUCCUUUCGACGGGGAAGAUAAUGACGGUACCCGUAGAAGAAGCCCCGGCUAACUUCGUGCCAGCAGCCGC
RNAcentral lists this ribosomal RNA (444 nucleotides) under uncultured bacterium. RNAcentral's name for it is "SSU rRNA". It matches the Rfam family "Bacterial small subunit ribosomal RNA", at positions 26 to 518 of the family's 1533-position model. The record is from RNAcentral.